GAGGAUUUUUAAAGGAAUUGCACAUAGGAAUUAUAACAGAUAUGAUACAACAUAGUUAUACAAUGUAGAAAAAGAGAGAUUAAUUUGCCCAUAUUCUGAGAGAACAAAUAAACAGAGAUGAUAGGUUAAUUUGUUAUUUCUUCUUUAUUAACUUCUCCUUGCAGUUCAAAUCAGGCCUCAAUACUAUGAUGUAGCAUUUGGGGGCAAAGAUGGAGCCCAGUAAGCCAGCACUGGAGGCUAAGAUGGAGAAGAUCUCCACAGCCACCAUGUAUUUCCCCUUGGUGCUCAGGUAGACCGGAACAAAGGAGAUCCAAACACUACAAAACAACAACAUGCUGAAGGUGAUGAAUUUGGCCUCAUUAAAGCUGUCAGGCAGUUUCCUGGCAAAAAAGGCCACAACAAAGCUGAUAAUGGCCAAAAAGCCCAUGUAGCCCAGGACACAGUAAAACAGGGCAACUGACCCUUCGUUGCAGCCUAGAAUGAUUUCCCUCAUCACAGACUGCAUGUCAGAAUCAGGAAAUGGGGGAGAGGUUACUAACCACACAGCACAAAUGCCUGCUUGGAUAAGGGAACAAGAAAUCACAAUGGAGCUUGCCAGUCUUUUCCCCACCCACUUCCUCAUUCGGGAUCCUGGUUUGGUGGCCACAAAGGCCAGAACCACCGUGAUCGUUUUGGCCAGAACACAAGAAACGGUCACUGUGAAAACAAGGCCAAAAGCCAUUUGUCGGAGCAGGCAGCUCACUCUUUCUGGAGGACUGAGGAAGAUCAAUGGGCAGAGGAAGCAGAGCAGGAGGAAAGUGAGGAGAGUGUAGGUGAGGUGCCGAUUGUUUGCUCUGACAAGUGGUGUGUCCUGAUGUUUAACGAAGAUGGCUAGGACCACCACUGUGAGGAGAGAGAGAAAAAGAGCCAGCAAUGCUAAGCUGAUCCCCAGAGGCUCUUUAAAAGACAGGAAGCUGAUGGUCUUUGGAAUACAUUGCGAUUGAUCUCUGUGUGGAUAGUGAUCUUCGGGGCACCCAACACAGUCAUCCAUAUCUGGAGAGAAAAUAAUAUAUUCAGAUUUCAAAUGUUCUGGAUAGCAACUACAAAUGCUACCAGUGUGAAACUCUUAAGGUUAAAAUAGAAAUAUCACAGAUGCCUCCUUUAUACAUUUGAAAAGUACCAUCUAUAUAUUGUGUCUCCUACCUUUCUGUGAUGAAAUCUUGCCUUGAGGACAUGGAGCACAAUCAUAGCAGCAGAAUGGCUCCCCCUCCUUCUUUUCCUUCCUGGAACCAGGAGGGCAAUUUGAGUUACAUAGUGAAAGGGGUGGAACCUGCCCAUUUAAAUAAACACAUAAACAUUUUAGCACACAGAAAUUAGUAUUAUUUCGCCCCACCCCAACUAGAAAUAGGAAGACACUAAAAUACUUAUUCCAAACUCAGAGCCAAACUGCUCAUUUUUCUAUUCAUGCUCUACAAAAAGUGUACUCAACCUGACAAAUCUGGGGAACAAAUAUCUCAAAUGGAGAGUGAUCUGUUGAAAUGUAAUGUUAAAGAUAUUCUCUUUUCCUAUAUCUCAUGGAUGUAGGAAUUAUGCCUCACCUGGUGAAAGCUCUGGUGCCACACCAUUCUUUUGUCAUCAAUGGAAAUCAGCUGGCCUGGGACAGCCUCCCCACCCAGUCUUCCAACCUUGAUUCUCAUGAAGGAGUUAUUUGGAAAAGUGACUAUGUUGGUAAUAUCAGAGCCAGCUUCUACUACCCUGCUCUCACUGAAAGAAACCGUUUCUCCAGCAGAGUUGUUAAAGGAGACACUCCUAAGGAAGGGAUGGAGCUGCAUUGGAGGAAAAAUAGGAACUAUGCAUAUGUCUCUCCUUACUGACACUCAGGAUGCCUUCAGCGUUCAGUACUGGCAGGGACUGCUAUGCAAACAGAAUCCAUUCAUUGGAAAUGGCUCGUAAGAGAGAGCCAAUGAUUUCCUUUCUCUCCUAUAGGGAAAAUCCUAAUGCAUUCCCGACCAAGAGGAAAUGAGAAAAAAAUCAGUUCCCACUACUUGGAUAUCUCUCACCCCACAGAAGAGAAUUAUAGGGUAAACGGCCUCAUAUAACCACCAUGCAGACAUUUAAUCAACCCAUGAAGGGGGUUAAUGCCAUGGAGUAAGCUGUCCUACCAGGCUUCGUCUAUGUCACUUCCCUUCACUUUAGGAGGAAAUGGGCAACAAAGCCGUUUGGCUUUGGGGAAACUCAGCCUGCAUGUGAAUUCUAUGCUUACGUUAAGUGAAGGAUCCUAGUCUACACUCAGUACUUGAAAAUUUUCAGUGUAGUCUUCUACAUUUCACGGCCCAUGUCAAAUAACUUGUACGUUAUAAUAGGCAUUACCUGCCAAGGCUGCAGUUUCUGUAGCUUCUGCAUCCCUCCUUCCACCGCUGCCCUGUAUUUGGUCCUGGACAAGAACAUGGCAUGUAGAGCAUGUGCUGUGGCAUAAACAGCAUUAGAGACACUAUAGCUGUGGCUUGUUAUGCUCAUCUCAAAGCCAGACGAAGGGAGAUUUUCCAGCUUCUCCUUGCCAGUGCAGGUUCCACUGGCCUGCUCCUCUGUAUUGGAGUUUGGAAAUAAACAGAGAAAUACCUGUGCCCAGAACUGCUUGACAAAGCCAUUUCCAUUUGCCUCAAAAGGAUUUUGUACCUGAAGAAAGGCUUUGAAUCCUUGUACCACAUUUGAAUGAACUGCAAAGGAGAGGGAACCGUGGAAGACAUGCAUAUCCCAACUCAUUUGAUAGGUCAAUGCUGUGAAAUCCACCUGUGCUGUCAGUAUCCACACCUUGUCCACAGAUGUUUUGUUGAUAUUUUCCAUUUCACCUAGCGCUAGCAUUGUUCGCAAGCGAACCAUGGAUGUUGUUCCUCCAUAGAAAACAACAACCUUGGUUUCACUUUCCAUAAUAACAUGAUAGAUUUGGAUCAAGUGGGAAUACAUGACAUAAUACUCAGUCAAAUGAGUCAUUUUCAGGGUUGUCUCUGAGAAGGCCAAGCAAAUGCCUUUCUGGGAGAGGAGAGGUUUCAGGUUCUGAAUAAAUCUCUCUCCACUGUCAUUAUCCACUGCGAUCAGCCCAACCCACGUCCAACCAAAGUGCAGAAGUAACUCAACAAUCCCAGUGUACUGAUGGGCUUCAUUGGGCACCAUCCUAUAGAAGAAAGUAGAUUGGCUUUGACCAGGAUCUUCUGGAGCAAAGGAACCAUAAGUGAGCUAAAAGGAAUAAAGAGACAUAAUUCAUAAAUGUUGAAGAAGUGCAAAGUUUGUUGGCCAAUCCAGACUAUUCUCUGCAUGCCUCAGUAGAAGCUCUGUGCUGUGGAAGACAAAGCUACUGAUCUUUGUUUCUAACUGGCCCAGGAAACAGGACCAUUUCCAAACAUAAAGAGAAAGUCACCUAUUGAAAAUCCUAGUAUUGACCUUUGAAAGCUCUAAUUUGUCUGCACCUCAUAUAUCUAGAGGGCCACCUUCUCCCAUACCACCCACACUUCUUGGUUUAUUGGGUUAGGCCAGGUCACACCUAAUACAUUCUGGUGCCUGAGAUAGAAACCAACUGGUCCUGCCUUUGAAUCCUCCUUCAAUAUACCAAUAGGACCGCUUCAUCCACUGCACUUGGGACACCAGACUAGUUAGAGGAGUCAGGGGAGGCACUGCUCAGACCUAGAGCAGAGAGAAAGGCAAGUGUGCUUAAGAAGGGGAAAUAGGACUGCCCACCUAGAGCAGACAUCUUUAAAUGCUGCUGAUGGCUCACUACUAUCUGUUUUGUGCUACACAGGUUAUUUAAUUUGCAAAGUAAAGAGGAAACAAGUUUUGUGAAGAGCAGGACCACCCUCCUUUUUCAGCCACAACUCUACAAAACAUUUUUGGAGAGAAAAGAUAAUGGUAAUUGAGUGUGAAGAGUCCAAGGAAGUAUCUUACCUGGGGAAUCUUGUAGAUGCUCAAUAUGUCUGCCAUGUAGAGGGAGGUAUCAAAGUCCAGUCCCCCAAUAACUGCCACCAGGUGUUUCUGGAUGUCACACUUGUAGUUGGGUAUAAGUGUGGAGAGAAGGUUCAGAGCAGCCCGAUAGGUCAUCCUUUCAUUGAAGUAACUGUCAUAGACGUGGAAUCCUAAGGUGAUAUUUGGUAAGAUCUUGGGGUUCUCAUUGAUCUCCUUGACGGCAAAUAUCAAGGCCAGAAUAUGCUGGUAGUUCUUCGGCACAACACUGCAAUGAGAAUUUCAUGCUAUAUUUUUGAAAUAUAUGCUAUACAAUAUAAAAGGGGGGGGGGGAGGCUUGACAAUUCUUCAGCAUUUUAGUUGAAAUUGUGUCCUAUUAUAUAUGGAAAGGAGUUUCCCCUGAAGGAAUACAUUGUAUCCCACUUUUAUACUUGUAGUUCACUUUUAUUAAUACAGUGGUAUUAAUACAAUGAAAUUCCCUUUCUUUCCCUGUCACCAGUCCUCUGUCAUCUAACAAGCCUGCAACAUAGUGACAGCAGAAGGCUACAGAUAUUGACAGUCACACAGAGACAGCAACAGAAGCCGUAAAAUAUUUUGAAAUAUUUUGAAACCACGAAGCUGAUUAAUAAUAAUAAUAUAUCUCACAAGAUAAAAAUAAAGUGUACAGGCUGCCCUUUGGGCUUAGACAUAUACAAAUUGUUUAUUUACAGGUAUUGAUCUGAUCCCAGAAGAAAAGGUGUAUUGAAAUGCAGAGAAGCAGGUAGCCUGGCUUAAUGGAGUUAUUCUCAUCAUAUUCAAACCUGUGACACAUUUUAAACUGGGAGGGUCAUAUAAGACUAGCCUGACUUGGAUGAGAACAUCGGAAUGAGAAUUUCACCUCAAAGGAGAGGUGAGCCUUUAAGACCCUUCACCCCAAACUUUCAGAGAUGAAGUUCAAUAUUCAGAACAGAGAAGGGCUUUCCACCUUAAACUAGGUAAGUUUAAGUUGUGGCUCCUCUUAUGAAAGUCUUCUUGGAAGAAAUUUGGUGGGGUGUGGGGAGGAGAGAACACAUGAAUGAAAGAAAGACUCUCUCAUCUCACUGACGACACAUUCAGAUCUCCAUUUCCCUCCUUACAUGCCAAAUCUUCAGCUCUGAAAUGGUGCCCCCUCCCCAACACCUCUGCCUGGAAGGAAAUCCCUCUAUAAUCAGUGGAACAGGCUUCACAGUAAGCCUGGUUAGAGCUGGGGGAUGUUUCUGUAUCACCUGAUUACUUGAUACAUGAAGUAUUUACAAGGUAUUAAGAAGUUGAUGGGUGGUUAGCCUUUCUUUGAAGUCUGCUUUGUCAAAAGAGGUAAAGAGGUGAGAAGCAAGUCCGCCAAUAAUAAGAUCACCAGGUUGGUAGUAUUCAUGUGGAAUUCUGGACAGAUCAUGCAUGGUGCAACAUGUAUGUUUGCACACCAUAUGUGGCAGAUGAAAGAGAAUGGGCACAACAAACAGCAACAUACUGAGGCAAAUAUUCUUUCUCAUCUGACACACUCAUUUCCAUCUGGAAAAUGAACCUCAGCUUCAGAACCACGCUCAGUACAAUAUUCUGCCUUGACAGGAACAGCACUUCCCUACCAAUUCACAGAUUAAAAUCCUAUUAUACACCUCAACAAAGAGAAAAGCAAAAAUCCUCCCUCUUUCUCUUCCCUCUCCCUUGCUUAGAAUGGCAGGAAGGGGUUUUAUACCCAAACUCUGGCUGGUAUUGUCUGGAAAUCUAUUGAGACAUUAUUCAAGAGAGACUUAGUCAUGACGAGAUUGAUAAUUACAGUUGUGAUGAUAACUAGGUCUCUCUACAUCAAAAACAACAAAAUGACCAGAAAAAACACCUGCACAUGCUUGUGUUAUUUCAUCAAAAGUGGUUUCUGUCUGUUUAUGGGACAACAAAAGAGCAUGCAAAAAUAACAACAAGGAGGAAGAAAAGAAUAGAACAGUGGUCUGCUAUCAGUGCUGAAAAGCUUCAUCUGAACAGGGGAAAUGAUCAGUCUGACCUCCAAAUUUUCCCCCUGAACAUCUGUUCAUUAAUUUACUGACAAUCAUACUAAGACUGAAAAAUUGUGAAAGAGAUUGAAUUAUGGCAGAUGAUUUGUGUAGGUGGCAAGUAAAAUUAAGUAUAAACAGGGAGAAUUUCCUGGACGCCAAGAUCCAGGUUUGGGGCAAGUGCUCUUUGCUGAGAGAACCCUAGCAGAGAUUUCAAAUCACAAAAUUCAGCAAAGUAAAGUGUGAAAAUAUGGGUUGUUAGAUCGGAAAAAAUAUACCCUCAUGAGUUCCAAAACUUCCCUCUCCCCUUACCAUUGAAAAGGACCACACAUCUGGUCAGUGAAAAUUGGCAUACUUACAAAUUCUUCAAAGGUCAGGUUCAUGUGUUUCUCCAUACACAGUCAGAAAACACAGGCAGUAACACUUGGCUUAGUUAUAGUGGUGAAAGCUGCAAAUUAUUGGAAUAGGAGUCCAAGAGAGGCUUCUUAGAGCCAUGAGUUCUGAACUUGUAGCAACCAGCUAAGACCUUAAAUGUUGCGCUUCUUGGGUAGACUGAUAGAGAGCAAUAGGCCAUGUAUGUUAUGCAAUUAGGGUGAGGUAAGCUAGUUUUUGCUGUUUUGGGGACUGCUAAAAUUCCAAGAGCAUCUUGGUAUCUUCCUUAAAUGUAAUUCUAAGGCAAUUCUAAGGGGCGAUAUAUAGAUGUAAUAAAGAAAAAAUGAUUAGCAAAUACAAAAAGAAUGGUUAAUUAAUGUAUUUGAGAUAUCAAGAUGUAAGAGAGAAUUAACUUUACAAUUGCCCAGAUGUAUUCAGUAUUCAUAGUGGGUCAUGGAAUAAAAUGGUCUUUUUAUUUACCAAUCUUCUUGUUCCACCAUUUUUCAAAGAAUGUGAGAUAAUAUUGUAUUUUCUAAUUAAAAGGACUUUUAUUGUACUAAUGUUCAAAAUGCUUUUUCUCCAAAAUAUUCAUUCAGAACUAACCAGUUCCAUCUUCUGAACCAAAGCCCAUUAGCAAUACCACCAUUGUUAUAAGUAAGAACAAUGAGGCCGGAGUCUCAAGAGGUUCUGAGAGAGUUAAAGUUAUAUCAAGUACAAUAUAUGAAAAUAAUGAAUCAGGAAAUAGAAUGGAAAAUUAAACAAAUGAGACAAAAGACUUUUGAAUCGGCUAAUAAAUGUGGUAAAUUGUUGGCAUGGCAAAUGAAAAAGAGACAAAAACGAAAUACGAUUACGAAUUUAGAAGUGGAAGGAAGGAAUAUACAGAACCCUGCAGAGAUUAGAAGUUGUUUCCAGAAGUAUUUUAAAAGACUAUAUACUCAAGGGCCAGUGAAAGAAACAGAUUUAGACCAAUUUUUGAAAACAAAUGGACUACAAAAAUAUCUCAAGAAAAGAGACUAAUUUUGAAUGGCAGAAUAACUGAACAGGAAAUAGAAGGUGCCAUUCAAAAUAUGCAACUGGGUAAAUCUCCAGGACCAGACGGCUUGACCUCUAGAUACUACAGAUCUUUAAAAGAAUGGUUAAUUCAACCAUUGAAAGAGGUCUGUAAUGAAAUUAUGGAGGGGAAGAGGGCACCAGAGUCGUGGAAAGAAGCAUAUAUUACACUUGUACCAAAAACAGAGACUGAAAAGACACAACUUAAGAACUACCGCCCUAUCAUUACUUAAUGUGGAUUACAAAAUUUUUGCAGAUAUUUUGGCGAAGAGAUUUAAAAAAGUGUUGAUGGAAGAGAUUCACAAAGACCAAGCGGGCUUUCUCCCAGGAAGACAUUUGUCUGACAAUUUGAGGAAUAUAAUUGAUAUCUUGGAAAAAUUAGAAGUGAAUAUAAACACUAAAGCAGUGUUGAUAUUUGUAGACGCGGAGAAAGCCUUUGACAAUAUUUCUUGGAAUUUUAUGAAGAAGAAUCUACAGGGUAUGGGGGUAGGCCAAGGUUUUGAGAAUGGUAUAAGUGCAAUUUAUUCAGAACAAAAGGCUAAACUAAUUGUAAAUAAUGUUGUGACGGAAGAACUUAAAAUUGAAAAAGGGACACGACAAGGUUGCCCAAUUUCCCCACUUCUUUUAUUUCGGUCCUGGAGGUUCUGCUGAAUAUGAUUAGAAGGGACCAGAUGGUUAAAGGUAUACAGGUCGGAAUUAAACACUAUAAAUUGAGAGCAUUUGCAGAUGACUUAGUAUUGACGUUACAGGAGCCAGAAUCUAGUACAAAAAGGGUUUUAGAACUGAUUCAAGAAUUUGGUCAAGUGGCAGGAUUUAAAUUGAACAAGUCAAAAACCAAGGUUUUAGAGAAAAAUUUAACAUCGUUUGAAAGAGAGAGGUUUCAGAAUGAGACAGGUUUAACAGUGGUUAAGAAAGUUAAAUACUUGGGGAUUAACAUGACAGCAAAAAAUGGGAAUUUAUUUAAAGAUAAUUAUGAAAAAUGUUGGUCAGAAGUGAAAAAAAGAUUUAGAAAUUUGGUCAAAUUUGAAGCUUUCACUGCUAGGCCGUAUUGCUGCGAUAAAGAUGAAUGUAUUGCCCAGAAUGUUGUUUUUGUUUCAAACUUUGCAGAUCGUGGACAAAAUGGAUUGUUUCAAGAGGUGGCAGAAAGAUAUUUCUAAAUUUGUCUGGCAGGGCAAGAAACCCAGAAUAAAAUUUAAAAUAUUAACGGAUGCAAAGGAAAGAGGUGGAUUUGCCCUGCCAGACCUUAAACUGUACUAUGAAUCAGCAGCUUUUUGCUGGUUGAAAGAAUGGCUACUUCUUGAAAACACUGACAUUUUGGAUCUAGAAGGUUUUAAUAAUGUAUUUGGAUGGCAUGCAUAUUUAUGGUAUGAUAAGGUCAAAGCACAUAAAGCAUUUAAAAACCACAUUGUCAGGAAAGCGCUGUUUAAUGUCUGGAUAAGAUAUAAGGAUUUGCUAGAAAAUAAAACCCCAAGGUGGCUGUCACCAAUGGAAGCGAAAGCCUUGAAAAAGGUCAAUAUGGAGGUCAAAUGGCCGAAAUAUUGGGAAAUUUUGGAACAAGACGGAGAUAGACUGAAAUUGCAGAGUUUUGAAAAACUAAAAAACAAAGUGCGAGACUGGCUUCAUUAUUAUCAAAUAAUGGAGGUAUUUAAAUUGGACAGGAAAAUUGGCUUCCAGGUGGAAAGUUCCAAAUUAGAAACAGAAUUGUUAGAACCCAAUACCAAGAAUUUGUCAAGAAUGUAUAACCUGCUGCUGAAAUGGAAUACUCAAGAUGAAACGGUAAAAUCGGCUAUGAUUAAAUGGGCACAGGACGUUGGUCAUAACAUUAUGUUUGCUGACUGGGAACAGUUAUGAACCACAGGUAUGAAAUUUACGGCAUGUAAUGCCUUAAGAGAGAAUAUUAUGAAAAUGAUAUACAGGUGGUACAUAACCCCAGUCAAGCUUGCGAAAAUCUAUCACUUGCCCGAUAACAAAUGUUGGAAAUGUAAAGAAAUUGAAGGUACAUUUUUUCACCUUUGGUGGACGUGCCCAAAGAUUAAGGCUUUCUGGGAAAUGAUAUAUAAUGAAUUAAAAAGGUAUUUAAGUAUACCUUCCCCAAGAAACCAGAGGCCUUUCUCCUGGGCAUAGUAGGCCAAAUGGUGUUAAAAAAGGAUAGAACUUUCUUUAUGUAUGCAACAACAGCAGCAAGAAUACUCAUCGCAAAGUAUUGGAAGACACAAGAACUUCCCACGCUGGAGGAAUGGCAGAUGAAACUUAUGGACUAUAUGGAAUUGGCGGAAAUGACUGGUAGAAUCCGUGACCAGGGAGAAGAGUUGAUGGAGGAAGACUGGAAGAAAUUCAAAGACUAUCUUCAGAAACACUGCAAAAUUAAGGAAUGUUAGAGUGAUGUUGGACUGAAAACAAGUGGUUUCCAGCUGUACAGGUUAAAGUUAAGGAUAGAUUAAGAUUAAAGAUCAAGAUUAAAGAUGUUUAAAGAAAUGGAAAUUUGAUAAUAAAAGGGAAAAAUUUAAAGCUAUAUGACAUUAAGAUCAAGGAUUAGGUUUAAAAAAGAUGAAGUUAUAUAUUAUAACGUUUUAUUAAAUUAAAGAUUGAGAUUAAAAAAGUGGAAAAGAAACUGCUGGACAAAUAAUGUGGAUUGGAAUACAAAAGAGGGAGGUAUGAGGAAGUCCAGAAAAUAAGUAACUUAAAAUUGGAAAAGGAAAAGAGAGUUUGUUUUUAAUUGUUAUGUUUUGUGUUUUUAUUGUUAAGUUAGGUAUUGUUUUUUGUGUGUGUUGUUUUUCUUUUUUGUUUGUUUAAAACCUUAAUAAAAAAUUAUUAAAAAAAAAAAAAAGAACAAUGAGGCCGGAGGAACAUCACCCAGCUGUGAGGCGUGAAGGUCGCUCUCCUCAAGACCUUUUCCAACUGGCCUAGGGGGCGAGGCCCAGACUCACCAGCCCUACUGAAGAGGCUCCUCAUGAGGCUGGAGGAACAUUUUUUUAUUAAAAAAAAAACAAAACCAGAAAUUGUGUAGCAAAUAUUGCCUGUAACUACUGAAAUCAAUGGUACUGAUUAAUCAUGAUAGUAGCAGUUCCACUGAAACCUUACUUACUGGAGAAUCACAUAGAAAAGAAUAAGGAGAAGCUUUCUAAGCCUCCCAAUAUAUUGUUUUCUCUUUUUCAGUGUAUAAUUAACCACCAUCUGAUGUUCUAGUCAGGCCUUCAUACUUAGCAGUCUCCAUGACAGUUUCUUAGUUUCCCAAACAUUGAAAAAGGUUGUGGACCCCUAUUUCAGAAAGACCACAGAGGAUUUUAAAAGUAAUUGCACAUAGGAAUUGUAACAGAUAAAAUACAGUAUGGUUAUACGAUGUAGAAAAAGAGAGAUUAAUUUGCCCAUAUUCUGAUAGAACAAAAAACAGAGAUGUUAGGGUAAUUUGUUAUUUCUUCUUUAUUAACUUCUCCUUGCUGUUCAGAUCAGGUCUCAACACAAUGAUGUAGCAUUUGGGAGCAAAGAUGGAGCCCAGUAAGCCAGCACUGGAGGCCAAGAUGGAGAAGAUCUCCACAGCCACCAUGUAUUUCCCCUUGGUGCUCAGGUACACUGGAAGAAAGGAGAUCCAAACACUACAAAACAACAACAUGCUGAAGGUGAUGAAUUUGGCCUCAUUGAAGCUGUCAGGCAGUUUCCUGGCAAAAAAGGCCACAACAAAGCUGAUAAUGGCCAAAAAGCCCAUGUAGCCCAGGACACAGUAAAACAGGGCAACUGACCCUUCGUUGCAGCCUAGAAUGAUUUCCCUCAUCACAGACUGCAUGUCAGAAUCAGGAAAUGGGGGAGAGGUUACUAACCACACAGCACAAAUGCCUGCUUGGAUAAGGGAACAAGAAAUCACAAUGGAGCUUGCCAGUCUUUUCCCCACCCACUUCCUCAUUCGGGAUCCUGGUUUGGUGGCCACAAAGGCCAGAACCACCGUGAUCGUUUUGGCCAGAACACAAGAAACAGUCACUGUAAAAACAAGGCCAAAAGCCAUUUGUCGGAGCAGGCAGCUUACUCUUUCUGGAGGGCUGAGGAAAAUCAAUGGGCAGAGGAAGCAGAGCAGGAGGAAAGUGAGGAGAGUGUAGGUGAGGUCCCGAUUGUUUGCUCUGACAAGUGGUGUGUCCUGAUGUUUAAUGAAGAUGGCAAGGACUAAUAUUGUGAGGAGAAACAGAGAAAGAGCCAACAAUGCUAAGCUCGUGCCCAGAGGCUCUUUAAAAGACAGGAAGCUGAUGGUCUUUGGAAUGCAUUGUGAUUG
This is a non-coding RNA of Podarcis lilfordi (Lilford's wall lizard), 11613 nucleotides long. Lineage: Eukaryota; Metazoa; Chordata; Lepidosauria; Squamata; Lacertidae. The record is from the annotation of a GenBank genome assembly.